Long non-coding RNA from Phyllostomus hastatus (greater spear-nosed bat), 1255 nucleotides. RefSeq lists it as uncharacterized. The transcript has 2 exons. The record is from RefSeq and is a predicted model, not a curated record. NCBI's taxonomy places the organism in Eukaryota, Metazoa, Chordata, Mammalia, Chiroptera, Phyllostomidae.
CGCUGCUUCAAAAGUUACAGACAAGCUGGCGGAGUGUGCAGCGACCGCGCAGCUGCCCACCACCGAGAAGAGGGAAGGAAACUCCCGCGGCAGGGGGUUGGCUUCUCCGGGGUGAGGACUGUGCAUUCCCAGCUCAAGCCCGGAAACCUCCUUCCUUGUGAUCCUCGGAGGGCGGCAGGGAGCGCGCUCAUCCUUUCUGAGCCCCCACCAGCAGGAGCCAGCUGUGUGUGGGCCCACGCUGCGGGCAUCCCCUUCCAGGCAGGACCCCCAGAGGUGGUCAGACUUCAGGAUGGAUGAUGAACUUCCAAAAAGGAAAAAGAUGGAAAAUCAUCGAAUUACCAUAAACUGUGCUGCCAACCGAAUAAGUGUUUCUAAAGGCUCAAGAGAGAUUAUAUUCCUGCAUUAUAUAAUCUACCAACAACCUACUUACCUACUGUCUUAAUCUAGUUUAUUCUUGAAAGCAGAGCCUGAGACAAAGGGAGACAUGUUCUACUUGGGAAUGUGAUCCUAGGGAGCGGGAAUGAGAGAGACAGGAGUGAAGGGGCGGGGCGAGGCGGGGAGGAAAGAAAAUACAAGCAAAACAAGGUAGUAUAAUCCAGUGUCCACCUCUGUUAAUGGUUCUCAGGGAAGAACCUUCUCAGAAGUCUUACUAAACUUUGUCUCAGACUGUCUGCCUGAGGGUACAAAGGGAGAAGCAGUUCUCGCUCCUACAUGUUGAGGGCUGCUCCCAUUAGGGCUAACACCCGACCCCCACCCCCAUGCAAAGCCAGGGGAGCCUCACUGGUACCAGGGCAUCCCACAUUGCCACAUCAGAGAAGCCUUGGGACAGGAAGCUAGAUUCCUGCUACGUGCUGGAAGUGAGGCACUGCCAGCACAGAGCAGGGCCAAGCCUGCCUGGAACUGUUCACCAGAGCUGCGGCGGGAACUGGAGGUUGAAGAGAUGUGAGACAGUGCACACGAGUGUACAGAAUGUGCUGUCAGCAUUGUCCAGCUCUAUUUCCUCCUCUUUCUGUAAUUAAAAUUUCAGUGUCCAGAACAAGGAUGGCAGAAGGGUUAUAUUUAUUAGAGGGAUGUUUAUAAGAAAUAGAACAUGAACAUGACAAAUAGAACAUGAGAACUUGGAAAAAAUUUUAAAUAUUCCAUUUGAAAAAUUGGGUUAUUGGUGAAAGAUAUUGUAUAUCUUCUAAAUUCAUGUAAUCUCUGAAAAUCAUGAAUUGUUUGGAGAAAUAAAAUUAACCUUUUGUUACGCCUCUGA